UACAGAGACUGCAAGCGUUGUUCGGAUUUAUUGGGCGUAAAGGGUGCGUAGGUGGUCGGGUAAGUCUGAUGUGAAAUCUCGGAGCUCAACUCCGAAACGGCAUUGGAUACUAUUCGGCUUGAGGGUUGGAGGGGGGACUGGAAUUCUCGGUGUAGCAGUGAAAUGCGUAGGUAUCGAGAGGAACACCAGUGGCGAAGGCGAGUCCCUGGACAACUCCUGACACUAAGGCACGAAAGUUAGGGGAGCAAACAGG
RNAcentral lists this ribosomal RNA (253 nucleotides) under uncultured prokaryote. RNAcentral's name for it is "partial 16S ribosomal RNA". It matches the Rfam family "Bacterial small subunit ribosomal RNA", at positions 524 to 776 of the family's 1533-position model. The record is from RNAcentral.